Molecule: ribosomal RNA, 555 nt
Filed under: Triticum aestivum (bread wheat)
Lineage: Eukaryota; Viridiplantae; Streptophyta; Magnoliopsida; Poales; Poaceae
Description: partial small subunit ribosomal RNA
Source: RNAcentral
AUGAUGGAAAGGCUUCGGCUUACGGCGAUCGAGGGGCGGCCUGUGGUGUUGGAUGAUGAGGAUGAGGCUGAUAUGGUGGCUCCGGAUUGUGCACUGGUGGGGAAGGUGCUUUCCCCCAACAUCCUCCACAUCCAGAUGAUUUCCUCGGCUAUGAGGCCGGCUUGGGGCAAUCCCAGGGGCUUGUUGCUCCACCCCUCCGGUGACAACGUUUUUGUUGCUGAAUUUGGUUCCCAGGCAGACAGAGCCAGGGUGAUCGACGGCUCGCCUUGGAUGGUGGGCAAGCAUGCUGUUUUGCUCAAAGUCUUUGAUAUGAACAUCCAACCUCUUCAUGUCAAAUUUGAUCGGUUGGCUAUUUGGGCCCGUAUUAUGAAUUUGCCGCCAAGGUUGAUGAAGGCCAAGCUCGGUAUGGAAUUUGCCAAGCCCAUUGGUAAAAUUGUUAAAGUGGAUGCUGAUUCUGAUGGUCGCUGUUGGGGCGGAUACAUGAGGGUUAGAGUUGAGAUAUCGGUCCAGGAGCCACUUGUUUGCUGUGACUUCGGUGAGGCUUCAAUCCACUGA